CGCAACUGACGCUCAUGCUCGAAAGUGCGGGUAUCGAACAGGAUUAGAUACCCUGGUAGUCCGCACGGUAAACGAUGGAUGCCCGCUAUUUGUCCAUUAGGAUAAGUGGCCAAGUGAAAACGUUAAGUAUCCCACCUGGGGAGUACGCCGGCAACGGUGAAACUCAAAGGAAUUGACGGGGGCCCGCACAAGCGGAGGAACAUGUGGUUUAAUUCGAUGAUACGCGAGGAACCUUACCCGGGCUUGAAUUGUGAGAGAAGGAUCCAGAGAUGGUGACGCCCUUCGGGGCUCUCAUGAAGGUGCUGCAUGGUUGUCGUCAGCUCGUGCCGUGAGGUGUCGGCUUAAGUGCCAUAACGAGCGCAACCCCUCUCUUCAGUUGCCAUCAGGUUAAGCUGGGCACUCUGGAGACACUGCCACCGUAAGGUGUGAGGAAGGUGGGGAUGACGUCAAAUCAGCACGGCCCUUACGUCCGGGGCUACACACGUGUUACAAUGGGUGGUACAGAGAGUUGGGUGCCCGCAAGGUCACUCUAAUCAAUAAAUCCAUCCUCAGUUCGGACUGGGGUCUGCAACCCGACCCCACGAAGCUGGAUUCGCUAGUA
RNAcentral lists this ribosomal RNA (601 nucleotides) under uncultured bacterium. RNAcentral's name for it is "bacterial SSU rRNA". It matches the Rfam family "Bacterial small subunit ribosomal RNA", at positions 735 to 1340 of the family's 1533-position model. The record is from RNAcentral.